AAGUCGUAACAAGGUUUCCGUAGGUGAACCUGCGGAAGGAUCAUUUGCGAUACUCUAAAAAAAACGAGAUUGAAGUGCCAGAGGCUUAACCCCCUUUUGUGCUUCUUUCUUAAGAGAUUUUGUGGUCUUUAACCUUUUUUGGUUUUGUCUUGGAGGACAAAAAAAUGAACUCAAAUCUUCGGGUUAGGUUCUUUCCAACUCCAAGCUCCAAAAUCAAAACCAACAAUAAACCAUAAUCAAACCAACCAAUGUGAUUUGUUCAUUGUACAGUUGUAAUUUUACAAUUAAAAAAUUAAAAAUCACAACUGGCAACGGCGGAUCUCUUGGCUCGU
This 332-nucleotide unclassified non-coding RNA is filed under the name fungal sp. Its description in RNAcentral is "partial internal transcribed spacer region". The stretch from base 1 to 46 matches the Rfam family "Eukaryotic small subunit ribosomal RNA", at positions 1786 to 1831 of the family's 1831-position model. The record is from RNAcentral. Lineage: Eukaryota; Fungi.